RNAcentral lists this long non-coding RNA (361 nucleotides) under Phoenix dactylifera (date palm). Its description in RNAcentral is "long non-coding RNA (PDAC_LNC012736)". The record is from RNAcentral. Lineage: Eukaryota; Viridiplantae; Streptophyta; Magnoliopsida; Arecales; Arecaceae.
AAAUUAUAUAUGUUCAUGGUAUCACGCAUAUUUUUUACUUGAUUUUCUGAAGUACUUCACAUAUGCUCAGAACAGUGAUCAUUUUUUUGACUUGACGUUGCUGUCAUUCUUUCUUUUCUUUUGCAGAUGGAUUUUAUGCAACCAAUUUGAGGAUCUUGGAGGAAGAUAUUAGUGCGCUAACUUUAUGAUAGGUCUUCAUGCAUGUAUCAGAGGAACUACCUUUCGUCUGGUGGCAUGUACUUAAUGGUUGUUUCACCCAAAUACUGUUUUUUUAAGACUAAAAAAGUUGGAAUUCUGUAUGUUGGUUAUGAACUUAUGCAAUGAUACGAUGAAUAUGAUGGUAUUUCUUUUUAUAUUCUAA